GAUGAACGCUGGCGGUGUGCCUAAUACAUGCAAGUCGAGCGAACAGACGAGGAGCUUACUCCUCUGACGUUAGCGGCGGACGGGUGAGUAACACGUGGAUAACCUACCUAUAAGACUGGGAUAACUUCGGGAAACCGGAGCUAAUACCGGAUAACAUGUUGAACCGCAUGGUUCAACAGUGAAAGACGGUCUUGCUGUCACUUAUAGAUGGAUCCGCGUCGCAUUAGCUAGUUGGUAAGGUAACGGCUUACCAAGGCAACGAUGCGUAGCCGACCUGAGAGGGUGAUCGGCCACACUGGAACUGAGACACGGUCCAGACUCCUACGGGAGGCAGCAGUAGGGAAUCUUCCGCAAUGGGCGAAAGCCUGACGGGGCAACGCCGCGUGAGUGAAGAAGGUCUUCGGAUCGUAAAACUCUGUUAUUAGGGAAGAACAAAUGUGUAAGUAACUAUGCACGUCUUGACGGUACCUAAUCAGAAAGCCACGGCUAACUACGUG
RNAcentral lists this ribosomal RNA (497 nucleotides) under uncultured bacterium. RNAcentral describes it as "partial 16S ribosomal RNA". It matches the Rfam family "Bacterial small subunit ribosomal RNA", at positions 28 to 507 of the family's 1533-position model. The record is from RNAcentral.